Molecule: long non-coding RNA, 254 nt
Filed under: Lathyrus oleraceus (garden pea)
Lineage: Eukaryota; Viridiplantae; Streptophyta; Magnoliopsida; Fabales; Fabaceae
Description: Pisum sativum (pea) long non-coding RNA (PSAT_LNC026981)
Source: RNAcentral
UUUGAGCGAAGAAAGAAAAUAUGUGGAGUAUAAUGCCAAAUGCAAUUUAAUCUUUUUAGAGGAUUUUUUAAAAUAGUUUAUUUUUGCUUUGUUUUUUAAAGACUACUUUUUUGUUUUGAAAUUAUUUCUAGGAGUUUUUUGUUUUCUUAUAUGAUGAUGAUAAUACGGGUUUUCUUUUCAAUAAUGAUGUACAAGUAUUAAGGCGGUAAUAUGACUUUGACAUCAAUGUAUUUUCUUUUAGCUUUUAGAAUUUU